GUGCUCGCUUUGGCAGCACGGAUACUAAACCUGGAACGAUACAGAGAGGAUGAGCAUGGCCCCUGCGCAAGUCUGACAGGCAAAUCUGUGACGUGUUCCAUAUUUGU
Molecule: small nuclear RNA, 107 nt
Organism: Peromyscus californicus insignis
Lineage: Eukaryota; Metazoa; Chordata; Mammalia; Rodentia; Cricetidae
Source: RefSeq, a predicted model, not a curated record